UUUUAGUAUAGUAUGGUGCUGAAAAUUCUGGGCAGGUUUGUCCUGUUCUAGGCUCUGUUUUACUGCUUUAAACUUGAAGUUUCUUUCUGAAAAUUUUACUGUAGGUUGGAAUAAUAUUCAGGAGUGUCUCAUAAAAAUUUUGUAUUUAAAAGAUAAAUUUUCAAUUUAUUAAAAAUCAUAGACCGAGGGCUGUUUGAACUAUUUGUUCUAGUUUUUCUUUCUUUGCUAGUGCAUAGUAUGAGGUUAUACUUGGCUAAUUGCAUAUGAUUGAUUAUUACAUUGAUUGGCUCGGUUAACCUUUAUAUCUAAUUAAACGUGCUUUGCGUAUAACAAAUUAGUAAUCCUGCUAAAAGAUUUUAUUAUAUGUUCACUACAAGUCAAGACAGAUUUUCUGUUCACUGCAAGCCAAGGGAUCUUUUUUUAUAUUAAUAAUUCAUGUGUUAGCAAUGGUAUUGGUUGGUUGUUGGUAUUGCAAACAGGUGGAUAGUCCGAUAAACAGAGGAGAUGAUGCCGAAUUUUCGUUAGGAAUUAUAUGUAUUUAAUGGCUAUAAAAAGGGGUUAUUUGUGCAAUUAUGUGUUAUGUGUUUAUCUGCCUAUGUGGUAUGUAUAUGCGAAGGGUAGAUAUAUAUAGGUCUUAAUACUUUUCAGAGUUAGUUAAUUUGUCUGAUCCGACGGUUAAAAUACUAUUUUACUAUCGUAUAGAAUUGAAGACAUUGACCGAGGCAUUGAUCGAGAAGUGAUUGAAAUGGGUAUCCAGAAUUAGCCAAGUAGUGUUGCAAGUUGAAGUAGGGCGGAGAUUUGUUAUAGAUAAAAGCUUGUCAGAAGCUGGCAGAAAGGAAUGAUAUGGCGGUAUAUAGUAUUAUUAGAAAUCUGACCUAGACACCAGAGUUAAGGCAAGUACUUCUACCUUUCUCUCGCAAUUUAGAAGCAAGUAUUUCUACCCUACUCCUCUAGUACCUAUAGAUACUAAAACCUUCUUUAUAUCAUGAUUCAAAUUAUUUGCAAUUACUUUCUUGUGAAGCAUAUCUAGUACUUUUAAACCUUUUGGUUGAACGGAUAACACUUUUGGUAUCGACUCUACACUAUGAUAUGCAUAAAGAAAUUGUUUUAACAAAAUGUUGUUCUGGCUCUUGAAUUACAUGAUAGAACUGCAGAUUGUUUUAAAAAUUAAACUGUUGGGUUGUUUUUGCGUAAGAGGCUCGGGCACCGGCCCAGCGUGAAAGGUGGCUCCUUAAGCCCGGAUUACCGGAAUUCGUAAUAUUUGUCAACCUUGCUGAAUAAGCUUGGUUUAUGGACUAUAGCAUGACUGAUCAUCUGUUAUAGCCAGGUGUCCAAUUAAUUUUAAAGCCCAAUAAAAUUGUGAAUAGUUUAAAAAGAAGUUACCCUGCCUUCAAGAGAUAUUUGCUUAUACAUUCAUUUCUGCAGUUUUAAAUAUUUUCACUUCUUUAUUAUGGCAUUGCUGUACAACAAAUAUCAAUUUCAUUUUGUUAUUCUUGCUGAGCAUUAUUGCUCAUUCUUGCUAUUCCUUCUAACCCUUUUCAGCUAGGAAUAAAGAUGAUUCACUUAAGACUAGGCAAGGAUUGCAAGUGGUUGAGUUUCAAGCAGAUGGACAGGUAGAGUAUUUAGGACGAUGUCAUUAAGACUAGAUGCAGUUGGAGUUCUGCAAUUCAAUUCAGUUGGAAAUUAGAUUUGUUUAUUUGGUUAUCAGCUACUCUUCUUAUCGAGGUUUAGCUGAUAAUGUUGUUUAAUUUGUAAAUAAGAUUUUAUAGUUUUAGUUUCUGAUUUCAAUGCUGUAGCCUGUAUGCGAUCCUGUUUUCAGGGGGUGAAAUUGAUUUUGAAUUAAAGACCUUCUUUUAAAAAAAUAAUAUCCAGGUUUAGAAAUACUUGUUUUUACUUUCUUCCAAAAAUACAGGUUUUAAAUUGUUUUUCUUUUAAUGGCUCAAAACUACAGGUUUUAAAUUAUUUUUAUUUACACGUGGCACCAGAUCUAGACCCCCGGAUUUGAGGGAUGUCACAGUUGGUAUCAGAGCUACAGGUUAUAAGUUAUUGAAAUCAGAAUGUAGGUUGUAACUUGUCUAAUAAGAUAGACACGUUAAGUGAAACCUCACAUAUAGGUAAGUUCAGAUUAGUGGUGUAACCUCAUAUAGAGGUAUCGUAAGACUAUUUGGGGAUAGUCCUUUUGAGCAUAAUAAAAUGAAGCUAAACGAUUAUGUUUAAGUGAUUAUGGUUAUAGACACAACAAUUCCUAAUUCUAGUUCUUCCAGUCCCUAGUGGCCUAGUUUAUUGACCAAUUCAGAUUUAUAUCAUUGUAAGAGGGUCAAAGUUAGACCUAUCAACAGAACCUUCAAGCUAGAACCAGUAGAGAUUCUCACACAGUCUAAUGUAUCCUUUAUAGUAUCUUCCAAGUGUUGAGUAUUAUUUGAAGAGUCACCUUUUGAUUCUUGUCAGAGAUAUCUAGAAUUGGUGAAAGAAUAGAGGUGUUAACAAGUCCGAGUUUACAGCUUUGUAUAUAGUUAAGUAGUGAGCGUUAGAGCUACGUAGAGUUUGUGUUAGAUUAUUCGAUCUAGUACUUAUGUGUGAGUUAAGAUGUCAACGCUCUAUGGUGAUGAUUGUAUAAAGUUGGAUAAGACUUUUGACCGACAACGAUAUCAAUGAUGGGAUCUUCAGAGGCUAUUACUAGUCAACGAUAAUAUAUGCAAGUGGUCACUAAAACGUCAAGAAAAAUCACUAGAAUCAGAACGAGUCAUCAAAAGAAUCGAUCAAAAAGACAUCUGUGAGAAUCCUGGCAAUACCUUCCUCAUUGUUGAUAUAUUGAUUUCUUUCCCCAUCAAUGAUUUGUUCUGACAUCACUUUAAAAAAAAAAAAUAUUUGAUAAAGAGUAUAUUUUUACCUUUCACUCGAGUUCUCGAAUGAUACUUGUGCUUACUGUCACACCUAUAGAAUCUAUUCAAUCUUGGUAAUUUCGAACCCUUUCAUAUUCUUUACUCUAACUGAGAUGAACAACCCUACCUAUAGGGGACACAAGGACUACCUGUCUGUGUGAUAGGAGUUGGAUGGGACGCCAUCACUUGUGUGUGUUGUACAUUACAAGAAGGUUAACUACCUUUAGUAGUGUCUUAAAUUAGACACGCAACACCGAGUUCUAUAGACCAUAUUGAUCUCUCAGUUAUUCAUUUAUUUCAAUCACGUAACACUUGCUCCAAUAUGUGAAAUCUGUCAUAUCUUUUACCUUCAAGAUUCUUCUAAUCUCUAAUAGUUGGAGGUAUGCCAACCGAGUUGCCAAUAUGAAUUAAGACUUUGUAGUAAGAAGCACCAGGGAUGAAAGCGAAUGACAAUGCUGGUUAUAUCAGAAAGGAAUAUUAUGGAUUAUAGAGAUCGUACACUCUAGUUUUCUUUUUGAUGAUUCCGAGGACGGAAUCUUUUUAAGGGGGGUAGAUUGUGACGACCCGGAUUUUCAGAAAUUAUUUUAUUAUUUUUAUUCAUGAUUAUUCGAGACAAAUGAGGAAUAAAUUUCAAUAUUUUAUUCUAGUUUGAUAAUUUUCAAAAAUAUUUGUUUAAAUUAUUUUCCUAGUCAUUGUGAUUAUGAGAAAAUAUCUGUUGAUUGUACAAUUAUAUGUUACGAGAUUUAAUUGAAUUAGUUGUCUACUAUUAUGUCUGUGUGUGCAUUUAUUUUUACUUUUAAUAUUACUGUAUUGUUUUAUUGAAAUUUAUUAUCCUCUUAAAUGGAUAUUUAUUUUUGUAAAAAUACAAAGAUAAUUUCAAAAAUUAUUUUAAUUGCUCGAUAGUGAUCAUAAAUAUGUUUAGAAGUUUUUAAAAUAUUAAAAAUCCAAUUUCUACAAGGACAUGAUUUUUAAUUAGUUUCUAAACGCAGCUAACUUCUUAAUUUUGUAUAAAUUUUGAAAAUGCUCUAUAAAUCUUGAAACUUUUAUUUUAUGAGUUUUAUAAUAUUCGGUAAUUUAUAAAAUUAGUUUGUUAAUUUUUCGAGAAAGUUUUAAUGCGAGUUAUCCCGUAAAUCAACUAAAUAGCGGGUGUUUGGAUGAUUAUUCAGCUUAAAAUAAAACGUGGCAGCCUUUGGCCAAACCACGUGCCCUGCUUUUCACCACCGCCAUCCCUUUUCUUCAUUUUAUAUACAUCAGCCUCUCAAUCUCUCUCUCUCUCUCUCUGUGAAAUCCUCCAUCUCUCCCUCUCCGCUCCUCUUUCUUUUCUCACCCAUCUUCCUCUCUUUCUUGGCAUCACCGUCCCUUCCCUGCAGCCGCCGAAUUAUGCCGUUAUGCCGCUGCCACCUCUUUCCAGCGACCACCAUAGCCCUGCACCAAUUAUAAAUCAGUGGGUGUAAAGCUUAAUUUCUCUUUGUCAAAUCAGUUCUAUAUAAACGUAUAUAUACAUGUGGUGUUGUGUUUAUAUGGAUUAAAUUGAUUUAUAUAAUCGAUUUAUGUGUGCUUGUAUGUAUAUAAACUGAUUAUAUGCUGGUUUUUGAAAUUUGAAGGUUGAUUGAAUUUUUGAGAUUGAGAUUGGUGUUAGUAAUCGUAUGAUUGAAUUGUGUGCUUAAUUGAUAUUUGAAUUGGUUGUUGUAAGUUGAUUAUAAAUAGUGCGCCAAUUAGUAGUGUAAUCGGAUGACUUGGGUACUUGAAUUAUGGGAAUAUAUAACUGAGUAUUCAAGCUUUAAGGUCUGAGAUUUUUGUAAAUGUUUUCAAAGUGGUGUUUUAAGAGUUUAAGUAUUGGGCUAAAAAAAAAUUUUGAUUUACACAUAUUCGGUUGAAUUCUAGAUUGCUGUUGAUCUGUUUUGAAUUACAACUCUGGGAUCAUAGAGUUGAAUUAUAUGCUUAAUAUUUGUGUGGUUAUGUGCUCCUUAGAGUCUAGUUUAUGUGCGCGAAAGAACCGAAUCGAUUCGAUUAGCGAGCUAGGAGAUAUGACCGUUUUAGUAUAGUAUGGUGCUGAAAAUUCUGGGCAGGUUUGUCCUGUUCCAGGCUCUGUUUUACAGCUUUAAACUUGGAUUUUCUUUCUGAAAAUUUUACUGUAGGUUGGAAUAAUAUUUAGGAGUGUCUCAUAAAAAUUUCGUAUUAAAAAGAUAAUUUUUCAAUUUAUUAAAAAUCAUAGACCGAGGGCUGUUUGAACUAUUUGUUCUAUUUUUCUUUCUUUGCUAGUGCAUAGUAUGAGGUUAUACUUGACUAAUUGCAUAUGAUUGAUUAUUACAUUGAUUGGCUCGGUUAACCUUGUAUAUCUAAUUAAAAGUGUUUUGCGUAUAACAAGUUAGCAAUCCUGCUAAAAGAUUUUAUUAUAUGUUUACUACAAGUCAAGACAGAUUUUCUUAUGUGUUUACUGCAAGUCAAGGGAUCUUUUUAUAUUAAUAAUUCAUGUGUUAGCAAUAGUAUUGGUUGGUUGUUGGCAUUGCAAACAGGUGGAUAAGCUUAUAAACAGAGGAGAUGCUGCCGAAUUUUCGUUAGAAAUUAUAUGGAUUUAAUGCCUAUAAAAAGGGUUGUUUGUACAACUAUGUGCUAUGUGUUUAUGUGACUGUGGUAUGUAUAUGCGAAGGGUAGAUAUAUAUAUAGGUCUUAAUGCAAUUCAGGGUUAGUCAAUAUGUCUAAUCCGACGACUGAAAUACUAUUUUAUCAUCGUAUAGAAUUGAAGACAUUGACCGAGGCAUUAAUCGAGAAGUGAUUGAAAGGGGUAUUCAGAAAUAGCCAAGCAGAAUGUUACAAGUUGAAGUAGGACGGAGAUUUGUUAUAGAUAAAAGUGUGUCAGAAGCUGGCAGAAAGGAAUGAUUAUGCGGUAUAUAGUGUUACUAGGAAUCUGAGCUAAACUUUGGAGUUAAGGCAAGUACUUCUACCUUCUCUCGCAAUUUAGAAGCAAGUAUUUCUACCCUACUCCUCUAGUACCUAUAGAUACUAAAACCUUCUUUAUAUCAUGAUUCAAAUUAUUUGCAAUUACUUUCUUGUGAAGCAUAUCUAGUACUUUUAAACUUUUUGGUUGAACGGAUAACACUUUUGGUAUCAACUCUACACUAUGAUAUGCAUAAAGAAAUUGUUUUAACAAAAUGUUAUUCUGGCUCUUGAAUUACAUGAUGGAACUGCAGAUUGUUUUAAAAAUUAAACUAUUGGGUUGUUUUUGCGUAAGAGGCUCGGGCACCGGCCCAGCGUGAAAGGUGGCUCCUUAAGCCCGGAUUACCGGAAUUCGUAAUAUUUGUCAACCUUGCUGAAUAAGCUUGGUUUAUGGACUAUAGCAUGACUGAUCAUCUGUUAUAGCCAGGUGUCCAAUUAUUUUUAAAGCCCAAUAAAAUUGUGAAUAGUUUAAAAAGAAGUUACCCUGCCUUCAAGAGAUAUUUGCUUAUACAUUCAUUUCUGCAGUUUUAAAUAUUUUCACUUCUUUAUUAUGGCAUUGCUGUACAACAAAUAUCAAUUUCAUUUUGUUAUUCUUGCUGAGCAUUAUUGCUCAUUCUUGCUAUUCCUUCUAACCCUUUUCAGCUAGGAAUAAAGAUGAUUCACUUAAGACUAGGCAAGGAUUGCAAGUGGUUGAGUUUCAAGCAGAUGGACAGGUAGAGUAUUUAGGACGAUGUCAUUAAGACUAGAUGCAGUUGGAGUUCUGCAAUUCAAUUCAGUUGGAAAUUAGAUUUGUUUAUUUGGUUAUCAGCUACUCUUCUUAUCGAGGUUUAGCUGAUAAUGUUGUUUAAUUUGUAAAUAAGAUUUUAUAGUUUUAGUUUCUGAUUUCAAUGCUGUAGCCUGUAUGCGAUCCUGUUUUCAGGGGGUGAAAUUGAUUUUGAAUUAAAGACCUUCUUUUAAAAAAAAAAAAUAUCCAGGUUUAGAAAUACUUGUUUUUACUUUCUUCCAAAAAUACAGGUUUUAAAUUGUUUUUCUUUUAAUGGCUCAAAACUACAGGUUUUAAAUUAUUUUUAUUUACACGUGGCACCAGAUCUAGACCCCCGGAUUUGAGGGAUGUCACAGUUGGUAUCAGAGCUACAGGUUAUAAGUUAUUGAAAUCAGAAUGUAGGUUGUAACUUGUCUAAUAAGAUAGACACGUUAAGUGAAACCUCACAUAUAGGUAAGUUCAGAUUAGUGGUGUAACCUCAUAUAGAGGUAUCGUAAGACUAUUUGGGGAUAGUCCUUUUGAGCAUAAUAAAAUGAAGCUAAACGAUUAUGUUUAAGUGAUUAUGGUUAUAGACACAACAAUUCCUAAUUCUAGUUCUUCCAGUCCCUAGUGGCCUAGUUUAUUGACCAAUUCAGAUUUAUAUCAUUGUAAGAGGGUCAAAGUUAGACCUAUCAACAGAACCUUCAAGCUAGAACCAGUAGAGAUUCUCACACAGUCUAAUGUAUCCUUUAUAGUAUCUUCCAAGUGUUGAGUAUUAUUUGAAGAGUCACCUUUUGAUUCUUGUCAGAGAUAUCUAGAAUUGGUGAAAGAAUAGAGGUGUUAACAAGUCCGAGUUUACAGCUUUGUAUAUAGUUAAGUAGUGAGCGUUAGAGCUACGUAGAGUUCGUGUUAGAUUAUUCGAUCUAGUACUUAUGUGUGAGUUAAGACGUCAACGCUCUAUGGUGAUGAUUGUAUAAAGUUGGAUAAGACUUUUGACCGACAACGAUAUCAAUGAUGGGAUCUUCAGAGGCUAUUACUAGUCAACGAUAAUAUAUGCAAGUGGUCACUAAAACGUCAAGAAGAAUCACUAGAAUCAGAACGAGUCAUCAAAAGAAUCGAUCAAGAAGACAUCUGUGAGAAUCCUGGCAAUACCUUCCUCAUUGUUGAUAUAUUGAUUUCUUUCCCCAUCAAUGAUUUGUUCUGACAUCACUUAAAAAAAAAAAUAUUUGAUAAAGAGUAUAUUUUUACCUUUCACUCGAGUUCUCGAAUGAUACUUGUGCUUACUGUCAGACCUAUAGAAUCUAUUCAAUCUUGGUAAUUUCGAACCCUUUCAUAUUCUCUACUCUAACUGAGAUGAACAACCCUACCUAUAGGGGACACAAGGACUACCUGUCUGUGUGAUAGGAGUUGGAUGGGACGCCAUCACUUGUGUGUGUUGUACAUUACAAGAAGGUUAACUACCUUUAGUAGUGUCUUAAAUUAGACACGCAACACCGAGUUCUAUAGACCAUAUUGAUCUCUCAGUUAUUCAUUUAUUUCAAUCACGUAACACUUGCUCCAAUAUGUGAAAUCUGUCAUAUCUUUUACCUUCAAGAUUCUUCUAAUCUCUAAUAGUUGGAGGUAUGCCAACCGAGUUGCCAAUAUGAAUUAAGACUUUGUAGUAAGAAGCACCAGGGAUGAAAGCGAAUGACAAUGCUGGUUAUAUCAGAAAGGAAUAUUAUGGAUUAUAGAGAUCGUACGCUCUAGUUUUCUUUUUGAUGAUUCCGAGGACGGAAUCUUUUUAAGGGGGGUAGAUUGUGACGACCCGGAUUUUCAGAAAUUAUUUUAUUAUUUUUAUUCAUGAUUAUUCGAGACAAAUGAGGAAUAAAUUUCAAUAUUUUAUUCUAGUUUGAUAAUUUUCAAAAAUAUUUGUUUAAAUUAUUUUCCUAGUCAUUGUGAUUAUGAGAAAAUAUCUGUUGAUUGUACAAUUAUAUGUUACGAGAUUUAAUUGAAUUAGUUGUCUACUAUUAUGUCUGUGUGUGCAUUUAUUUUUACUUUUAAUAUUACUGUAUUGUUUUAUUGAAAUUUAUUAUCCUCUUAAAUGGAUAUUUAUUUUUGUAAAAAUACAAAGAUAAUUUCAAAAAUUAUUUUAAUUGCUCGAUAGUGAUCAUAAAUAUGUUUAGAAGUUUUUAAAAUAUUAAAAAUCCAAUUUCUACAAGGACAUGAUUUUUAAUUAGUUUCUAAACGCAGCUAACUUCUUAAUUUUGUAUAAAUUUUGAAAAUGCUCUAUAAAUCUUGAAACUUUUAUUUUAUGAGUUUUAUAAUAUUCGGUAAUUUAUAAAAUUAGUUUGUUAAUUUUUCGAGAAAGUUUUAAUGCGAGUUAUCCCGUAAAUCAACUAAAUAGCGGGUGUUUGGAUGAUUAUUCAGCUUAAAAUAAAACGUGGCAGCCUUUGGCCAAACCACGUGCCCUGCUUUUCACCACCGCCAUCCCUUUUCUUCAUUUUAUAUACAUCAGCCUCUCAAUCUCUCUCUCUCUCUCUCUGUGAAAUCCUCCAUCUCUCCCUCUCCGCUCCUCUUUCUUUUCUCACCCAUCUUCCUCUCUUUCUUGGCAUCACCGUCCCUUCCCUGCAGCCGCCGAAUUAUGCCGCUGCCACCUCUUUCCGGCGACCACCAUAGCCCUGCACCAAUUAUAAAUCAGUGGGUAUAAAGCUUAAUUUCUCUUUGUCAAAUCAGUUCUAUAUAAACGUAUAUAUACAUGUGGUGUUGUGUUUAUAUGGUUUAAUUUGAUUUAUAUAAUCGAUUUAUGUGUGCUUGUAUGUAUAUAAACUGAUUAUAUGCUGGUUAUUGAAAUUUGAAGGUUGAUUGAAUUUUUGAGAUUGAGAUUGGUGUUAGUAAUCGUAUGAUUGAAUUGUGUGCUUAAUUGAUAUUUGAAUUGGUUGUUGGAGGUUCAUUAUAAAUGGUGCGCCAACUAGUAGUGUAAUCGGAUGACUUGGGUACUUGAUUUAUGGGAAUAUAUAACUGAGUAUUAAAGCUUUAAGGUCUGAGAUUUUGUGUAAAUGUUUUCAGAAUGGUGUUUUAAGAGUUUAAGUAUUGAGCUAAAAAAAAUUUAGAUUUACACAUAAUCGGUUGAAUUGUAAGUUGCUGCUGAUCUGUUUUGCAGUAAAAUUCUGGGCUUCUAGAGUCGAAUUAUAUGCUUAAUAUUUUUGUGGUUAUGUGCUCCUCAGAGUCUAGUUUAUGUGCGCAAAAGAAUCGAAUCAAUUCGAUUAGCGAGCUAGGAGAUAUGACCGUUUUAGUAUAGUAUGGUGCUGAAAAUUCUGGGCAGGUUUGUCCUGUUCCAGGCUCUGUUUUACAGCUUUAAACUUGGAUUUUCUUUCUGAAAAUUUUACUGUAGGUUGGAAUAAUAUUUAGGAGUGUCUCAUAAAAAUUUCGUAUUUAAAAGAUAAAUUUUCAAUUUAUUAAAAAUCAUAGACCGAGGGCUGUUUGAACUAUUUGUUCUAUUUUUCUUUCUUUGCUAGUGCAUAGUAUGAGGUUAUACUUGACUAAUUGCAUAUGAUUGAUUAUUACAUUGAUUGGCUCGGUUAACCUUGUAUAUCUAAUUAAAAGUGUUUUGCGUAUAACAAGUUAGCAAUCCUGCUAAAAGAUUUUAUUAUAUGUUUACUACAAGUCAAGACAGAUUUUCUUAUGUGUUUACUGCAAGUCAAGGGAUCUUUUUAUAUUAAUAAUUCAUGUGUUAGCAAUAGUAUUGGUUGGUUGUUGGCAUUGCAAACAGGUGGAUAAGCUUAUAAACAGAGGAGAUGCUGCCGAAUUUUCGUUAGAAAUUAUAUGGAUUUAAUGCCUAUAAAAAGGGUUGUUUGUACAACUAUGUGCUAUGUGUUUAUGUGACUGUGGUAUGUAUAUGCGAAGGGUAGAUAUAUAUAUAGGUCUUAAUGCAAUUCAGGGUUAGUCAAUAUGUCUAAUCCGACGACUGAAAUACUAUUUUAUCAUCGUAUAGAAUUGAAGACAUUGACCGAGGCAUUAAUCGAGAAGUGAUUGAAAGGGGUAUUCAGAAAUAGCCAAGCAGAAUGUUACAAGUUGAAGUAGGACGGAGAUUUGUUAUAGAUAAAAGUGUGUCAGAAGCUGGCAGAAAGGAAUGAUUAUGCGGUAUAUAGUGUUACUAGGAAUCUGAGCUAAACUUUGGAGUUAAGGCAAGUACUUCUACCUUCUCUCGCAAUUUAGAAGCAAGUAUUUCUACCCUACUCCUCUAGUACCUAUAGAUACUAAAACCUUCUUUAUAUCAUGAUUCAAAUUAUUUGCAAUUACUUUCUUGUGAAGCAUAUCUAGUACUUUUAAACCUUUUGGUUGAACGGAUAACACUUUUGGUAUCGACUCUACACUAUGAUAUGCAUAAAGAAAUUGUUUUAACAAAAUGUUGUUCUGGCUCUUGAAUUACAUGAUAGAACUGCAGAUUGUUUUAAAAAUUAAACUGUUGGGUUGUUUUUGCGUAAGAGGCUCGGGCACCGGCCCAGCGUGAAAGGUGGCUCCUUAAGCCCGGAUUACCGGAAUUCGUAAUAUUUGUCAACCUUGCUGAAUAAGCUUGGUUUAUGGACUAUAGCAUGACUGAUCAUCUGUUAUAGCCAGGUGUCCAAUUAAUUUUAAAGCCCAAUAAAAUUGUGAAUAGUUUAAAAAGAAGUUACCCUGCCUUCAAGAGAUAUUUGCUUAUACAUUCAUUUCUGCAUUUUUAAAUAUUUUCACUUCUUUAUUAUGGCAUUGCUGUACAACAAAUAUCAAUUUCAUUUUGUUAUUCUUGCUGAGCAUUAUUGCUCAUUCUUGCUAUUCCUUCUAACCCUUUUCAGCUAGGAAUAAAGAUGAUUCACUUAAGACUAUGCAACGAUUGCAAGAGGUUGAGUUUCAAGCAGAUGGACAGGUAGAGUAUUUAGGACGAUGUCAUUAAGACUAGAUGCAG
RNAcentral lists this long non-coding RNA (11482 nucleotides) under Daucus carota (carrot). RNAcentral's name for it is "long non-coding RNA (DCAR_LNC003535)". Lineage: Eukaryota; Viridiplantae; Streptophyta; Magnoliopsida; Apiales; Apiaceae. The record is from RNAcentral.